Long non-coding RNA from Drosophila innubila, 286 nucleotides. RefSeq lists it as uncharacterized. The record is from RefSeq and is a predicted model, not a curated record. The transcript has 3 exons. Lineage: Eukaryota; Metazoa; Arthropoda; Insecta; Diptera; Drosophilidae.
GCACAAACUCCUAGAAAUUGCAAGAACUUUCCGAGUGUGGGAUCGAGAGAGCAAAAUGUUUUGCUGGCUCACUCAUACACAUGCACACCGGCAGAAAGAGCGAGAAUAUUCAAGAGCGCAAAAGCAACAAGCUGUCGGUUUUGUCUUUGUGUGUUUGCCACUUUGGCGUCGGUAUAAAAACUCGCUCCGUCGUCAGCUGCGCCGCAAUUGUAUUUGAAUCGUCAGCGAAAGAGCAUCUGCUGUGCAGAAGAGAGCAAAUAAAAGAAAAAAAAGUUUGGAAGAGCAC